GCUGGGCGUGGUGGUGCACGCUUGUAAUCCCAGUGGCUCUGGAGGCUGAGGCAGGAGGAUCGUGAGUUCAAAGUCAGCCUCAG
This 83-nucleotide small RNA is filed under the name Marmota monax (woodchuck). Lineage: Eukaryota; Metazoa; Chordata; Mammalia; Rodentia; Sciuridae. The record is from RNAcentral.